This 254-nucleotide ribosomal RNA is filed under the name uncultured bacterium. Its description in RNAcentral is "partial 16S ribosomal RNA". It matches the Rfam family "Bacterial small subunit ribosomal RNA", at positions 524 to 776 of the family's 1533-position model. The record is from RNAcentral.
UACAGGGGGUGCAAACGUUGCUCGGAAUCAUUGGGCGUAAAGCGCACGUAGGCGGUUCGUUAUGUCGGAUGUGAAAGCCCUUGGCUUAACCGAGGAAGUGCAUCCGAAACUGGCGAGCUAGAGUACGAAAGAGGAUCGCGGAAUUCCCGGUGUAGAGGUGAAAUUCGUAGAUAUCGGGAGGAACACCGGUGGCGAAGGCGGCGAUCUGGGUCGAUACUGACGCUGAGGUGCGAAAGCGUGGGGGAGCGAACAGG